GGAGCUAAUCCCCAAAAGCCAUCUCAGUUCGGAUUGCACUCUGCAACUCGAGUGCAUGAAGUCGGAAUCGCUAGUAAUCGCGGAUCAGCAUGCCGCGGUGAAUACGUUCUCGGGCCUUGUACACACCGCCCGUCACACCAUGGGAGUUGGUUUUGCCUGAAGACGGUGUGCUAACCGCAAGGAGGCAGCCGGCCACGGUAGGGUCAGCGACUGGGGUGAAGUCGUAACAAGGUAGCCGUAGGGGAACCUGCGGCUGGAUCACCUCCUUUCUA
RNAcentral lists this ribosomal RNA (272 nucleotides) under Candidatus Liberibacter asiaticus. RNAcentral describes it as "partial 16S ribosomal RNA". It matches the Rfam family "Bacterial small subunit ribosomal RNA", at positions 1264 to 1533 of the family's 1533-position model. The record is from RNAcentral. Lineage: Bacteria; Pseudomonadati; Pseudomonadota; Alphaproteobacteria; Hyphomicrobiales; Rhizobiaceae.